UACGAAGGGGGCUAGCGUUGUUCGGAAUUACUGGGCGUAAAGCGCGCGCAGGCGGUUCUCCAAGUCAGUGGUGAAAGCCCGGAGCUCAACUCCGGAACUGCCAUUGAAACUGUUGAACUUGAGGACGAGAGAGGUGAGUGGAAUUCCCAGUGUAGAGGUGAAAUUCGUAGAUAUUGGGAAGAACACCAGUGGCGAAGGCGGCUCACUGGCUCGUAUCUGACGCUCAGGCGCGAUAGCGUGGGGAU
RNAcentral lists this ribosomal RNA (245 nucleotides) under uncultured bacterium. RNAcentral describes it as "partial 16S ribosomal RNA". It matches the Rfam family "Bacterial small subunit ribosomal RNA", at positions 524 to 768 of the family's 1533-position model. The record is from RNAcentral.